RNAcentral lists this transfer RNA (74 nucleotides) under Lentisphaerae bacterium ADurb.Bin242. RNAcentral describes it as "tRNA-Gln". It matches the Rfam family "tRNA". From Rfam's summary of the family: Transfer RNA (tRNA) molecules are approximately 80 nucleotides in length. Their secondary structure includes four short double-helical elements and three loops (D, anti-codon, and T loops). Lineage: Bacteria; Pseudomonadati; Lentisphaerota. The record is from RNAcentral.
UACCCCGUGGUGUAACGGUAGCACAACUGGUUUUGGUCCAGUUAGUUUGGGUUCAAAUCCCGACGGGGUAGCCA